Molecule: ribosomal RNA, 2737 nt
Filed under: Blastenia crenularia
Lineage: Eukaryota; Fungi; Ascomycota; Lecanoromycetes; Teloschistales; Teloschistaceae
Description: partial 18S small subunit ribosomal RNA
Rfam family: Eukaryotic small subunit ribosomal RNA (bases 1-2281)
Source: RNAcentral
CUGUGGUAUUCUAGAGCUAAUACAUGCUAAAAACCUCGACUUCGGAAGGGGUGUAUUUAUUAGAUAAAAAACCAAUGCCCUUCGGGGCUCCUUGGUGAUUCAUAAUAACUUAACGAAUCGCAUGGCCUUGCGCCGGCGAUGGUUCAUUCAAAUUUCUGCCCUAUCAACUUUCGAUGGUAGGAUAGUGGUACGUCCUUAUUUCUUUUCUGAUUUGUGGAAUUCAUGUGCUGACUUCGUCUACUGUAGGCCUACCAUGGUUUCUACGGGUAACGGGGAAUUAGGGUUCUAUUCCGGAGAGGGAGCCUGAGAAACGGCUACCACAUCCAAGGAAGGCAGCAGGCGCGCAAAUUACCCAAUCCCGACACGGGGAGGUAGUAAGUUUUUUAUCUUCUCAAUUAGAGAAAUUGGGAGUGCUAACGUUCCACCUCCAGGCGACAAGAAAUACUGAUGCAGAGCUCUUUUGGGUUUUGCAAUUGGAAUGAGUACAAUUUAAACCCCUUAAAACGUUGGGGGGUUCUUCCAGUCAUUAGGUGCUAAUGGCAACGCCCUCUCUGUCCGAAGAUUGCCCCCACAGGCAAGAUCCGGAGCUCGACUUCUUUCGGGCCCAGAGACUACAUUAGGGUGGGUGGCUUAGCGCCAUUUACGGUAUAGUCCAACCCUCAGGCUUGUCGCUCGAGGUUAUUGUGUAACGAGGAACAAUUGGAGGGCAAGUCUGGUGGACCUAGUCCCGUGCUGGCACCAGAAAUUGAGAGCAAGGCAGCCUAACAGGCACGUCUGCUCCAGUCGCUUCUCGGCGGCAAGGCACUUGGUACGGGGAAAGUUCUGGGGUGUCCAGCCCUGACAAUCCCGCGGCGAGUGGGAAUUUGACUCCACCGUUGUAACGCGCGCAAAAGUGUCGGCUACCCUCCCCCGUGGUAGUCCAAGGGACGCGCUAUUUUCCAUUCAAAUGAAUGUUUUGAUUGGUAGUCAAUCAAUUAAAUCAGGCCAGCAGCCGCGGUAAUUCCAGCUCCAAUAGCGUAUAUUAAAGUUGUUGCAGUUAAAAAGCUCGUAGUUGAAACUUGGGCCUGGCUGGCCGGUCCGCCUCACCGCGUGCACUGGUCCGGCCGGGCCUUUCCUUCUGGGGAGCCGCAUGCCCUUCAUUGGGUGUGCCGGGGAACCAGGACUUUUACUUUGAAAAAAUUAGAGUGUUCAAAGCAGGCCUAUGCUCGAAUACAUUAGCAUGGAAUAAUAGAAUAGGACGUGUGGUUCUAUUUUGUUGGUUUCUAGGACCGCCGUAAUGAUUAAUAGGGAUAGUCGGGGGCAUCAGUAUUCAGCUGUCAGAGGUGAAAUUCUUGGAUUUGCUGAAGACUAACUACUGCGAAAGCAUUUGCCAAGGAUGUUUUCAUUAAUCAGUGAACGAAAGUUAGGGGAUCGAAGACGAUCGAGCAGCGCCCUAGAGGCAUGCUGGCACUUUAGGUGUCUGGUCGUCCAUAGCAGCAACUCUAGUCGGGGUGCCUUUGGGCGCUCUGGCGACACCAUUCAACUGUAAUGGAGCCCCUGGGCCGUUCGCCUAGGUGAUCCACAGCCAAGUGCCCCCCCGAGUUCCGGGGGGCAUGCAGUUUACAGACUGAGUAACGGUGGGCCCUUCGGGGUUUUUGAUAUAGUCGGUCCCGCGCGAUAGCGCCCCGGACGCAACGCAGAUACCGUCGUAGUCUUAACCAUAAACUAUGCCGACUAGGGAUCGGACGAUGAUAUUUAUUUGUCUCGUUCGGCACCUUACGAGAAAUCAAAGUUUUUGGGUUCUGGGGGGAGUAUGGUCGCAAGGCUGAAACUUAAAGACAUUGACGGAAGGGCACCACCAGGCGUGGAGCCUGCGGCUUAAUUUGACUCAACACGGGGAAACUCACCGGGUCCGGACAAAACAAGGAUUGACAGAUUGAGAGCUCUUUCUUGAUUUUUUGGUUGGUGGUGCAUGGCCGUUUUUAGUUGGUGGAGUGAUUUGUCUGCUUAAUUGCGAUAACGAACGAGACCUUAACCUGCUAAAUAGCCCGGUCAGCUUUGGCUGGCCGCCGGCUUCUUAGAGGGACUAUCGGCUCAAGCCGAUGGAAGUUUGAGGCAAAAACAGGUCUAGAAAAUUGCUAGCAACCUUUACACAGGCCUGUUUGUAACUGCGUGCUGCCGCUACGGUAACACGAUUUGUGGCUUGGUGGCUCCUGCCGCCGAGUCAACACCGCUGGUACAGAGAAUGUGCUCUUCAAACGAAGGCGCUGAUUCUGUAACGAAUCCUUUCCACGGAUCGUUUCAACGCAUGCAAAGCGGUGGGCUUGGAAACGAGUUUUAGGUACAUGCUGUGUCCCCGCGAGAAGCGGAGGAAGCAAACACGCUGUGAUGCCCUUAGAUGUUCCGGGCCGCACGGUUAGUACUAAAUUCAUCAUCUUUUUUCGAUCAUUCAGCUAACGUUUUUUAGCGCGCUACACUGACAGAGACAACGAGUAAAUCACCUUGACCGAAAGGUUUGGGUAAUCUUGUUAAACUCUGUCGUGCUGGGGAUAGAGCAUUGCAAUUAUUGCUCUUCAACGAGGAAUGCCUAGUAAGCGCAAGUCAUCAGCUUGCGUUGAUUACGUCCCUGCCCUUUGUACACACCGCCCGUCGCUACUACCGAUUGAAUGGCUCAGUGAGGCCUUCGGACUGGCUCAGGGAGGUCGGCAACGACCACCCAGAGCCGGAAAGUGUGGUCAAACUUGGUCAUUUAGAGGAA